Molecule: non-coding RNA, 53 nt
Organism: Salmo salar (Atlantic salmon)
Lineage: Eukaryota; Metazoa; Chordata; Actinopteri; Salmoniformes; Salmonidae
Source: Rfam
AAUGCACCAAUUUGUAAGUCGCUCUGGAUAAGAGCGUCUGCUAAUGACAUAAA